Molecule: ribosomal RNA, 1626 nt
Filed under: Myxobolus feisti
Lineage: Eukaryota; Metazoa; Cnidaria; Myxozoa; Bivalvulida; Myxobolidae
Description: SSU rRNA
Rfam family: Eukaryotic small subunit ribosomal RNA
Source: RNAcentral
GUGAGACUGCGGACGGCUCAGUAAAUCAGUGAUAAUCUAUUUGAUUUUCUCUCCCAUUGGAUAACCGUGGGAAAUCUAGAGCUAAUACGUGCGGUACAUUGGUGUACCUUCGGGUCCACCAAAGCAUUUAUUAGACUAAACCAACUACUAUGCAUCUGCAUAGUAAGGGGAAUCUGGAUAACUUUGCUGAUCGUAUGGCCCAGUGCCGGCGACGUUUCAAUUGAGUUUCUGCCCUAUCAACUUGUUGGUAAGGUAUUGGCUUACCAAGGUUGCAACGGGUAACGGGGAAUCAGGGUUCGAUUCCGGAGAGGGAGCCUGAGAAACGGCUACCACAUCCAAGGAAGGCAACAGGCGCGCAAAUUACCCAAUCUAGACAGUAGGAGGUGGUGAAGAGAAUUACUAAAUGGUGGUCCAAUGGAUCACUUGUUUGGAAUGAACGUAACUUAAGAAAUUCGUUGAGAAACAACUGGAGGGCAAGUCCUGGUGCCAGCAGCCGCGGUAAUUCCAGCUCCAGUAGUCUGCUUUAAAGUUGUUGCGUUUAAAACGCUCGUAGUUGGAUCACGCAGUGGUGUUCAGUAAUCUAUUGUGAGGUAUCAUCAUACGUGUCCGUCACGUACGGCCGUGUGUUGGUGCCUGCAUCAGAUGACAUGCUGAAUGCCACUAGUUGCACGUGAGAUAGAUUGUUGGCCUUAAGUGAGCUGACUUUCUGGUCUUGCGGGGUGUGCCUUGAAUAAAACAGAGUGCUUAAAGCAGGUUAUCGCCUGAAUGUUAUAGCAUGGAACGAACAAUCGUGUAUAUGUGUGUGUCCUCAGUCGGUUGUGAGCCUUUGGUUUGCAGUUGUCUGGGGCGCACACGGCACCCACCAAAAUAUGGCUGUUGGUUCCGUAUCCGGUGAUGAUUAACAGGAGCGGUUGGGGGCAUCGGUAUUUGGCCGCGAGAGGUGAAAUUCUUAGACCGGCCAAGGACUAACAAAUGCAAAGGCACUUGUCUAGACCGUAUCCAUUAAUCAAGAACGAAAGUGGGAGGUUCAAAGACGAUCAGAUACCGUCAUAGUUCCCACCGUAAACUAUGCCGACCUGGGAUCAGUUUAGAGAUGUUACAAGCUCUAGAUUGGUCCCCCUGGGAAACCUGAAGUUUUUCGGUUACGGGGAGAGUAUGGUCGCAAGGCUGAAACUUAAAGGAAUUGACGGAAGGGCACCACCAGGGGUGGAGCCUGCGGCUUAAUUUGACUCAACACGGGGAAACUUACCUGGUCCGGACAUCGAUAGGAUUAACAGAUCAAUAGCUCUUUUAUGAUCCGAUGAGUGGUGGUGCAUGGCCGUUCUUAGUUCGUGGAGUGAUCUGUCAGCCUAAUUGCGGUAACGAACGAGACCACAGUCUCCAUUUGAGAGAUAGAAGCAAACGUUGUGGACGCGAUGAUCUCACGGUUAGAGUGUUUGCACGUUGCAGGAAGAGUGGCGUGCUCUGGUGAAAGUAUCGGGGCAACCUGGUGCUUUUGUCGGAGUCUGCUAUUUCUCCCUUUUAUCACACAGCAGUCGGUUUCGACUGGCUGUUGUCUCAUGGAGAGACAACGAGGUAUAAACAAGCUCGAGGAAGAGUGGCUAUAACAUGUCAGUGAUGCCCUUC